RNAcentral lists this ribosomal RNA (264 nucleotides) under uncultured archaeon. RNAcentral's name for it is "partial 16S ribosomal RNA". It matches the Rfam family "Archaeal small subunit ribosomal RNA", at positions 718 to 982 of the family's 1478-position model. The record is from RNAcentral.
AGUCACCGACAUUAGAUACCCCUGUAGUCCCAGCCGUAAACAAUGUGCGUUAGGUGUGUCGGUAACCACGUGUUACUGAUGCGCCGAAGAGAAAUCGUGAAACGCACCACCUGGGAAGUACGGUCGCAAGGCUGAAACUUAAAGGAAUUGGCGGGGAGCACCACAACAGGUGGAGCCUGCGGUUUAAUUGGAUUCAACGCCGGACAUCUCACCGGAUAAGACAGCUGAAUGAUUGUCAAUCUGAAGGUUUUACAUGACUAGCUG